Molecule: long non-coding RNA, 961 nt
Filed under: Nicotiana benthamiana
Lineage: Eukaryota; Viridiplantae; Streptophyta; Magnoliopsida; Solanales; Solanaceae
Description: long non-coding RNA (NBEN_LNC023609)
Source: RNAcentral
GGCAUGAAAUAAGUGAUUGCAUUGCUUUUAAACAGAAAGUGAAUCAAUUAACAUAUUAGACUCCUCAUAUAACUUAACAAAUUCAAUUGUAACAUACAAAAUUUGUAUUUCUAAUUAUUAAAAAGAUUCUUAACCGGAAAAAACCCCAAAAAUAUAGCGAUCUUCAGAGAAAUUAUAUAAUACAUAUGAAUACAUAAAUUAUAUUAAUUAAAAAAAUAUAUGAAAAUACAUUCAUGGAAUAUAGCGAGACAAUGAAUAUAAUGAAAUACAUAUGAUACAUCGGGAUACAUUAAAAUACAAUGAAAAAAAAGAUAAUGAAUACAAUGAAAUACAUCGAGAUACAUCGAAACACAUUAAAAUAUAUUAUCUAUAAAUUCAAGUGGCUCGUCCGGGAAAGGAGGGAGUCGAGAAGUGAAAUUUCCCAAAGGGGCUUCUUCAUCAUCAAACCCAUUUUCGAAAUUCAGCGGAUCAUAACGGAACUGAUUAGCAGAGGAGGAGUGUUGUCUCUUGUGCCCGUUAGAUCCAAAGUUGAAAAUAGUAAAACCUUGUAUUGGGUUCCCAAAUCAACAUCAGAUUCAUCGGAGGAUGACGGCGAAGGCGGAAGAGAAGGGUGGCAGUGAAGAAAGCAACAGGAGAAGCAAAAGGAAUUCUUCAACUUUUGCUUUAGAGAUGGAGCUGAAUUGGGUAUAGAAAAAGGAUGAUUUUCAUCCAUUGGAGUUUGAGAUUUGGGAGUAAAAAAUGGAGGAGAAAUUGAGGGGUUUUACAUAAUAGAGAAAUAGAAAAACGACAGAUAUUCUAAUACUUGAGAGAGAAAAAUAAUAUAUGUAUAUUUCAUGGCUUAAAAGUAUGAAGUGACCAUAAAUAGAUAUUUGGCUAUAAAAAUCAAAAGGUUGCUAUAGAAUAUAAUUUUUCAAAAACGUAUUUAUUUAAAAUAAAUAAGGUAUCAACUUUGCUAUAGGAG